This 78-nucleotide transfer RNA is filed under the name Microbacterium phage Zooman. Its description in RNAcentral is "tRNA-Leu". It matches the Rfam family "tRNA". Rfam says of the family: Transfer RNA (tRNA) molecules are approximately 80 nucleotides in length. Their secondary structure includes four short double-helical elements and three loops (D, anti-codon, and T loops). Further hydrogen bonds mediate the characteristic L-shaped molecular structure. tRNAs have two regions of fundamental functional importance: the anti-codon, which is responsible for specific mRNA codon recognition, and the 3' end, to which the tRNAs corresponding amino acid is attached (by aminoacyl-tRNA synthetases). tRNAs cope with the degeneracy of the genetic code in two manners: having more than one tRNA (with a specific anti-codon) for a particular amino acid; and 'wobble' base-pairing, i.e. permitting non-standard base-pairing at the 3rd anti-codon position. RNAcentral also lists the same sequence under 1 other name. Lineage: Duplodnaviria; Heunggongvirae; Uroviricota; Caudoviricetes. The record is from RNAcentral.
CUCGCGGUAGGCAAUCUGGUAGACCACGUGGAAUGAGAGUCCGCGAUGCUGGGGGUUCGACUCCCCUCUGCGAGACCA